AGUGAACGCUGGCGGUAGGCCUAACACAUGCAAGUCGAACGGCAGCACAGUAAGGGCUUGCUCUUACGGGUGGCGAGUGGCGGACGGGUGAGGAAUACAUCGGAAUCUACUUUUUCGUGGGGGAUAACGUAGGGAAACUUACGCUAAUACCGCAUACGACCUACGGGUGAAAGCAGGGGAUCUUCGGACCUUGCGCGAUUGAAUGAGCCGAUGUCGGAUUAGCUAGUUGGCGGGGUAAAGGCCCACCAAGGCGACGAUCCGUAGCUGGUCUGAGAGGAUGAUCAGCCACACUGGAACUGAGACACGGUCCAGACUCCUACGGGAGGCAGCAGUGGGGAAUAUUGGACGAUGGGCGCAAGCCUGAUCCAGCCAUACCGCGUGGGUGAAGAAGGCCUUCGGGUUGUAAAGCCCUUUUGUUGGGAAAGAAAAGCAGCAGGUUAAUACCCCGCUGUUCUGACGGUACCCAAAGAAUAAGCACCGGCUAACUUCGUG
This 492-nucleotide ribosomal RNA is filed under the name uncultured bacterium. RNAcentral describes it as "partial 16S ribosomal RNA". It matches the Rfam family "Bacterial small subunit ribosomal RNA", at positions 29 to 507 of the family's 1533-position model. The record is from RNAcentral.